Molecule: long non-coding RNA, 1316 nt
Organism: Mauremys reevesii (Reeves's turtle)
Lineage: Eukaryota; Metazoa; Chordata; Testudines; Geoemydidae
Exons: 3
Source: RefSeq, a predicted model, not a curated record
GGGACUAGAAGGGUGAGGAAGGGCUAGAAGUCAGAGAAACUCUCCAGGCAAGGAAGCCUGGGGAAGAGCCUACUCAAACAGGGAUCAAGCAGAGAGAAUCCAAGGAGUGUAACCCUAAGGAGACUGAAGUUACGGAGUGACCUGGCUGGAGCGCUGGGAAACCAGAGCACGGUUGAGGACAAAAUCUUCAGAGAGAAAGCCCAGGGGGCAUUGCUGUAUGCCAGGGCAGGGACAGACUUAAAGCUAACCCAGAAGGGGCUGAGAACUGAACCCAGAGAAAGGGCUGAAGACACCAACAAGGGGACAGCAAUUGGACCUGUAUUACCCUGGAAGGAGUUCCUCCAUCUGCCUGGUAACUGUGUGCCUUAGCUGGAAGGCUGAGCCACUGGAGAUGUGCCUGACAAGGGCAACAGCCGACAUGGGGCACAGAGAGCAGAGAAAGAAUGAAGGAUCGCACCCAGGUGACAGGAGGUGUUCAUGAGAGUCCAUCUCAUGUUGUUCAUGAUGCUCACUCAGAAAUUUGUGCUGACAUCUUCCAUAACCUGCAAGCAUGUUCCCCAGAUAAGUCACUUUUCCAUGAACACAGAGCACCAUUAAGACCAUUCUACAAUCUAGAUUUCUACAAUCCUGAACAGUUUGGGAACUCUUACAGAACAGUUUAUAAUCCUUUUAGAAACACUGCUUAGUUCAAAAAUCAACUGUGGCCAGAUCCUAAAUUGGUGUAAAUUGACCUAUUGUAAUCAAUAGGGCUAUGCCAUUUAAUACCAGCUGAGGACCUGGCCCCAAAUGUGAAAGAAUGUAUACUCUGUUCGAUACAAGACUACUUUUGCAUGUUGGGAGCAGUGUUGAGAAUCUCAUUUUGAUUAUGUUGUGAAUAGUGAAGACGAAACUUGCAUUGUAAGAAUUAUUGCUAGUAGAAAAUAGAGCUGUUUGAACUGUUUUAUGGAUAUUAAUUAGAAAUUAAGUCUUUUUGGUUAGCAUGUCAUUUGCAAACCAGUCCUGAGUUCUGUAAAUGCCUUUGUUCCUUACAAAUCACAGCUGAAUAAUUUCAAACAAUUGAAAUCUUGCUGGUUGUUCAUGAACUGUUCAGUUUGAAUAUUCUCAACUUUUAUGAGAUUGGGUCAGCUGAGAAAUAUAGGCUUAAGUUUUCAAACAUGAUUACUAAUUUUAGUUGCUCAGCUCAAGAUACCUUAGAGGGGGGCCUGAUUUUCAGAGCACAAAUGCUCAGGUCUUUAAGGUAUGAAAAGUUGAUUACUCAAAAGCUGGGUAUAUACUGAACUGGAUUAAAUAUUAAACUUUGAGAUUUAUGAAUAUUU